AGAGGUUGCAAGUUCGAUGCCAUAGCAGAAGUGCUCAUGGCACAGCCCUGUCAGAUUCGAAACAAUCUGUGAAUUCUGCU
This is a non-coding RNA of Crocodylus porosus (Australian saltwater crocodile), 80 nucleotides long. The record is from Ensembl. NCBI's taxonomy places the organism in Eukaryota, Metazoa, Chordata, Crocodylia, Crocodylidae.